GCUGGGCGAGGUGGCGCAUACCUGUAAUCCCAGCAUCUUGGGAGGCUGGGGUGGAAGGAUUGUGAGUUCAUAGCCAGGUUUAGCAGCUUAGUGAGGCCCUAAGCAACUCAACAAAUGCUGUCUCUA
This 126-nucleotide small RNA is filed under the name Marmota monax (woodchuck). Lineage: Eukaryota; Metazoa; Chordata; Mammalia; Rodentia; Sciuridae. The record is from RNAcentral.